UGGAAGUAAAAAAGUCGUAACAAGGUCUCCGUUGGUGAACCAGCGGAGGGAUCAUUACCGAGUUUACAACUCCCAAACCCAAUGUGAACGUUACCAAACUGUUGCCUCGGCGGGAUCUCUGCCCCGGGUGCGUCGCAGCCCCGGACCAAGGCGCCCGCCGGAGGACCAACCAAAACUCUUAUUGUAUACCCCCUCGCGGGUUUUUUUAUAAUCUGAGCCUUCUCGGCGCCUCUCGUAGGCGUUUCGAAAAUGAAUCAAAACUUUCAACAACGGAUCUCUUGGUUCUGGCAUCGAUGAAGAACGCAGCGAAAUGCGAUAAGUAAUGUGAAUUGCAGAAUUCAGUGAAUCAUCGAAUCUUUGAACGCACAUUGCGCCCGCCAGUAUUCUGGCGGGCAUGCCUGUCCGAGCGUCAUUUCAACCCUCGAACCCCUCCGGGGGGUCGGCGUUGGGGAUCGGCCCUGCCUUGGCGGUGGCCGUCUCCGAAAUACAGUGGCGGUCUCGCCGCAGCCUCUCCUGCGCAGUAGUUUGCACACUCGCAUCGGGAGCGCGGCGCGUCCACAGCCGUUAAACACCCAACUUCUGAAAUGUGACCUCG
Molecule: ribosomal RNA, 595 nt
Filed under: Trichoderma aureoviride
Lineage: Eukaryota; Fungi; Ascomycota; Sordariomycetes; Hypocreales; Hypocreaceae
Description: eukaryotic LSU rRNA
Rfam family: 5.8S ribosomal RNA (bases 259-412)
Source: RNAcentral